CAUCACUACGCUAGAUGCAUAUCAAUAAGCGGAGGAAAAGAAACUAACAAGGAUUCCCCUAGUAACGGCGAGUGAAGCGGGAAGAGCUCAAAUUUGAAAUCUUAAAGGGUUUCCCUUUACGAAUUGUAGUUUAAAGAAGUGUUUUCUGUUGGAGUUUCGGUAAAAGUUCUUUGGAAUAGGACAUCAUAGAGGGUGAGAAUCCCGUAUUUGACCGUUACUUUCCAGCUGUGUGAUACACUUUCAAAGAGUCGGAUUGUUUGGGAAUGCAGUCCAAAAUGGGUGGUAAAUUUCAUCUAAAGCUAAAUAUUGGCGAGAGACCGAUAGCGAACAAGUACCGUGAGGGAAAGAUGAAAAGAACUUUGAAAAGAGAGUUAAACAGUACGUGAAAUUGUCAGAAGGGAAGCGUUUGACACCAGUGUUGUUUAGUUGAAAAUCAAUUCAAUAAUUUUUGAUUUUGAGUAGUAUUGACUUCAUCAGCUUGCUGCUUUCUUUUCCGAAAUUAUUGAAUGCACUUUUCAGUUAACAAGUCAACAUCAAUUUCUUUUGUUGUAAAAGGGUAAGAGGAAGGUGGCUUACGCUUCGGCGUAAGUGUUUAUAGCCUUUUACCUCUGCAAUCGGAGAGAUUGAGGACAGCAGCGUAGACUCUUCGGGGUUAGAUACACUUGUGCUAAGCUAUAGCCUUGUAUAGACAACUUGUUGACUAUGCUCAGUCAUGUAGCUUACUCGCUUGUGCUAUUUUACCUACGCUUAGGAUGUUGAAGAUAUGCGCGACACG
This 775-nucleotide ribosomal RNA is filed under the name uncultured Neocallimastigales. RNAcentral describes it as "partial large subunit ribosomal RNA". It matches the Rfam family "Eukaryotic large subunit ribosomal RNA", at positions 20 to 644 of the family's 3401-position model. The record is from RNAcentral. Lineage: Eukaryota; Fungi; Neocallimastigomycota; Neocallimastigomycetes; Neocallimastigales.